Molecule: ribosomal RNA, 396 nt
Filed under: uncultured bacterium
Lineage: Bacteria
Description: bacterial SSU rRNA
Rfam family: Bacterial small subunit ribosomal RNA
Source: RNAcentral
AUUGAACGCUGGCGGCAUGCUUUACACAUGCAAGUCGAACGGCAGCACGGGGGCAACCCUGGUGGCGAGUGGCGAACGGGUGAGUAAUAUAUCGGAACGUACCCGGAAAUGGGGGAUAACGUAGCGAAAGUUACGCUAAUACCGCAUAUGCCCUAAGGGGGAAAGCGGGGGAUUCGCAAGAACCUCGCGUUUUCGGAGCGGCCGAUAUCGGAUUAGCUAGUAGGUGAGGUAAAGGCUCACCUAGGCGACGAUCCGUAGCUGGUCUGAGAGGACGACCAGCCACACUGGAACUGAGACACGGCCCAGACUCCUACGGGAGGCAGCAGUGGGGAAUUUUGGACAAUGGGCGCAAGCCUGAUCCAGCCAUGCCGCGUGAGUGAAGAAGGCCUUCGGGUU